This 301-nucleotide ribosomal RNA is filed under the name uncultured bacterium. Its description in RNAcentral is "partial 16S ribosomal RNA". It matches the Rfam family "Bacterial small subunit ribosomal RNA", at positions 509 to 807 of the family's 1533-position model. The record is from RNAcentral.
CAGUCGCCUCGGGAAAACAGAGGGUGCGAGCGUUAAUCGGAUUUACUGGGCGUAAAGCGUGCGUAGGCGGCUAAUUGAGUCGGAUGUGAAAUCCCCGAGCUUAACUUGGGAAUUGCAUUCGAUACUGGUUAGCUAGAGUGUGGGAGAGGAUGGUAGAAUUCCAGGUGUAGCGGUGAAAUGCGUAGAGAUCUGGAGGAAUACCGAUGGCGAAGGCAGCCAUCUGGCCUAACACUGACGCUGAGGUACGAAAGCAUGGGGAGCAAACAGGAUUAGAUACCCCUGUAGUCCCUGUCUCUUAUAC